AACGAACGCUGGCGGCAGGCCUAACACAUGCAAGUCGAGCGGACAUCUUCGGAUGUUAGCGGCGGACGGGUGAGUAACGCGUGGGAACGUGCCCUUUGCUUCGGAAUAGCCUCGGGAAACUGGGAGUAAUACCGGAUGUACCCUUUGGGGGAAAGAUUUAUCGGCAAAGGAUCGGCCCGCGUUGGAUUAGGUAGUUGGUGGGGUAAUGGCCUACCAAGCCGACGAUCCAUAGCUGGUUUGAGAGGAUGAUCAGCCACACUGGGACUGAGACACGGCCCAGACUCCUACGGGAGGCAGCAGUGGGGAAUCUUAGACAAUGGGGGAAACCCUGAUCUAGCCAUGCCGCGGGAGCGAUGAAGGCCUUAGGGUUGUAAAGCUCUUUCACCGGGGAAGAUAAUGACGGUACCCGGAGAAGAAGCCCCGGCUAACUCCGU
Molecule: ribosomal RNA, 434 nt
Filed under: uncultured bacterium
Lineage: Bacteria
Description: partial 16S ribosomal RNA
Rfam family: Bacterial small subunit ribosomal RNA
Source: RNAcentral